AGCACAGAUCCUCUGCACUGGUUUGGCACAAGACCUCCCGAGCAGGACAUGUAACCCACAAAAUUUAGCGAGUUUCCAGGCUUUGCUUCUUGUGAGAUUUAACGACGAUGCUGGUCUUAAAAUGGUUUUACCACAAGAAAAGCUUCCCCUACAUGGAGUAUACCUGUUGUCUUCCCCCCUGAGGCCUCACACUGCCAGUCUGAGGAAUAAAAUGAUAGAUCCAGAUGCUUUACCACAGAUCAUGGGGAGACAAUACAGAUUUGAUGAGAAAAGUGUGUUUGAGGUCAGAAACACAUCCUCACCUGAUGAAAGGUCUUGAGAUGGCCAGGACGGUUCGGAUGAACCAUGUCGGCAUCUCUUCAGCCAGCUGAUGCCGGGCAUCUUCCUGCGAGGAGUUGCUCCGUUCAGGUACGGCCUGAUGACCUGCAUGUCAAUGCGCUGUUCCUGGUCCCCGAUGAUCACCGUCCUCCACAUACGACCUGACGAGUCUCGUU
Molecule: long non-coding RNA, 494 nt
Organism: Solea solea (common sole)
Lineage: Eukaryota; Metazoa; Chordata; Actinopteri; Pleuronectiformes; Soleidae
Exons: 5
Source: RefSeq, a predicted model, not a curated record